Long non-coding RNA from Zonotrichia albicollis (white-throated sparrow), 938 nucleotides. The record is from Ensembl. NCBI's taxonomy places the organism in Eukaryota, Metazoa, Chordata, Aves, Passeriformes, Passerellidae.
UAUAGCCACAGCUUUUGGAGUCUCUCCAGGCUUACAGGAGUUAUUGAAAAUCAGUUCUGUAUCUUCAGAUGACUCUCUUAAUUUGUACUCGAAAGAUUUUAUUUUAAUAAGGGCUUUCUAAGUGAUAAUAGGAGAGGGAAAGGAUUGUAUCAGAUUUUUGGGAUGAUUAGACUUUCUCAUUUCUUUUCCAAAUUUGAGCUAGAAGCACUCAUGGUUGUUAGGUCCUGCUAAUAAGACUACUGACAUAUUAUUAUGUAUUAUUAUUAGUAUGCUCUUUACUGUUUGACAGAUAUUUUUAUCAGAGGCUGGUCCUGGGGUGUCUUGGAUCUCAUAUUUAUGGUUCUUUCAUGCUAUUCUGAUUGUCUUUUCUUUGACAGAUACUGGGAUGUCUUGGAUCUCAUGUUUCGUAUUCUUACAUGCUAUUCUGAUUGUCUUUCCUCCUCUCUUUGUAUUAAAAUUUGUGUCUAAGUGGAAGCCAGGCAAACUGUAGAAACUAAGUGCUUCCACUUUGCAAUUUGGAAAUCUCAACUCCUUUUUGUAUCAGCAAGUUUUUAUAGUAAAGCAGGUUGUGUUUAAAGUUGUGACCUUCAGAUAUGAAACUGCUGGAGAGCCUGGCAACCUCUGGCUGCACUGGGGAUAUCUCCUGGUAAAGCUUUUCAGGGUGCUCCUGAAUCCUGAGUUCUGGACAUGCUGUGCAUCAUGGGAGCCAGAAGAUUUUGAACAACCUAAUAGACAAGCAGCAAGUUUGCUUUUCUCAGACACUAAAAAUUCUUUCACUGUGAAGGAACUGAUGGAAUUAACCUCACCCACAAAACCCUCUGAGCUGAUCUGAGAAUGAAUUUCAGAUAACAGUAAUGGCUACACCACAUACAAUAUGGUUGCUUUGCUGCCCCUGAGCUGAAACAUCGCCUCUGCCUAAACUCUAAACUAACCUUAGG